RNAcentral lists this ribosomal RNA (1439 nucleotides) under Streptomyces xantholiticus. RNAcentral's name for it is "bacterial SSU rRNA". It matches the Rfam family "Bacterial small subunit ribosomal RNA". The record is from RNAcentral. Lineage: Bacteria; Bacillati; Actinomycetota; Actinomycetes; Kitasatosporales; Streptomycetaceae.
GGUGGGGGGGGGGUGCUUUACACAUGGCAAGUCGAACGAUGAACCUCCUUCGGGAGGGGAUUAGUGGCGAACGGGUGAGUAACACGUGGGCAAUCUGCCCUUCACUCUGGGACAAGCCCUGGAAACGGGGUCUAAUACCGGAUAACACUGCGGAUCGCAUGGUCUGCGGUUAAAAGCUCCGGCGGUGAAGGAUGAGCCCGCGGCCUAUCAGCUAGUUGGUGGGGUAAUGGCCUACCAAGGCGACGACGGGUAGCCGGCCUGAGAGGGCGACCGGCCACACUGGGACUGAGACACGGCCCAGACUCCUACGGGAGGCAGCAGUGGGGAAUAUUGCACAAUGGGCGAAAGCCUGAUGCAGCGACGCCGCGUGAGGGAUGACGGCCUUCGGGUUGUAAACCUCUUUCAGCAGGGAAGAAGCGAAAGUGACGGUACCUGCAGAAGAAGCGCCGGCUAACUACGUGCCAGCAGCCGCGGUAAUACGUAGGGCGCAAGCGUUGUCCGGAAUUAUUGGGCGUAAAGAGCUCGUAGGCGGCUUGUCACGUCGGAUGUGAAAGCCCGGGGCUUAACCCCGGGUCUGCAUUCGAUACGGGCAGGCUAGAGUGUGGUAGGGGAGAUCGGAAUUCCUGGUGUAGCGGUGAAAUGCGCAGAUAUCAGGAGGAACACCGGUGGCGAAGGCGGAUCUCUGGGCCAUUACUGACGCUGAGGAGCGAAAGCGUGGGGAGCGAACAGGAUUAGAUACCCUGGUAGUCCACGCCGUAAACGUUGGGAACUAGGUGUUGGCGACAUUCCACGUCGUCGGUGCCGCAGCUAACGCAUUAAGUUCCCCGCCUGGGGAGUACGGCCGCAAGGCUAAAACUCAAAGGAAUUGACGGGGGCCCGCACAAGCAGCGGAGCAUGUGGCUUAAUUCGACGCAACGCGAAGAACCUUACCAAGGCUUGACAUCGCCCGGAAAGCAUCAGAGAUGGUGCCCCCCUUGUGGUCGGGUGACAGGUGGUGCAUGGCUGUCGUCAGCUCGUGUCGUGAGAUGUUGGGUUAAGUCCCGCAACGAGCGCAACCCUUGUUCUGUGUUGCCAGCAUGCCCUUCGGGGUGAUGGGGACUCACAGGAGACUGCCGGGGUCAACUCGGAGGAAGGUGGGGACGACGUCAAGUCAUCAUGCCCCUUAUGUCUUGGGCUGCACACGUGCUACAAUGGCCGGUACAAAGAGCUGCGAAGCCGCGAGGCGGAGCGAAUCUCAAAAAGCCGGUCUCAGUUCGGAUUGGGGUCUGCAACUCGACCCCAUGAAGUCGGAGUUGCUAGUAAUCGCAGAUCAGCAUUGCUGCGGUGAAUACGUUCCCGGGCCUUGUACACACCGCCCGUCACGUCACGAAAGUCGGUAACACCCGAAGCCGGUGGCCCAACCCCUUGUGGGAGGGAGCUGUCGAAGGGUGGACCGGGGU